GACGAACGCUGGCGGCGUGCCUAAUACAUGCAAGUAGAACGCUGAAGAGAGGAGCUUGCUCUUCUUGGAUGAGUUGCGAACGGGUGAGUAACGCGUAGGUAACCUGCCUUGUAGCGGGGGAUAACUAUUGGAAACGAUAGCUAAUACCGCAUAACAAUGGAUGACACAUGUCAUUUAUUUGAAAGGGGCAAUUGCUCCACUACAAGAUGGACCUGCGUUGUAUUAGCUAGUAGGUGAGGUAACGGCUCACCUAGGCGACGAUACAUAGCCGACCUGAGAGGGUGAUCGGCCACACUGGGACUGAGACACGGCCCAGACUCCUACGGGAGGCAGCAGUAGGGAAUCUUCGGCAAUGGGGGCAACCCUGACCGAGCAACGCCGCGUGAGUGAAGAAGGUUUUCGGAUCGUAAAGCUCUGUUGUAAGUCAAGAACGAGUGUGAGAGUGGAAAGUUCACACUGUGACGGUAGCUUACCAGAAAGGGACGGCUAACUACGUGCCAGCAGCCGCGGUAAUACGUAGGUCCCGAGCGUUGUCCGGAUUUAUUGGGCGUAAAGCGAGCGCAGGCGGUUUGAUAAGUCUGAAGUUAAAGGCUGUGGCUCAACCAUAGUUCGCUUUGGAAACUGUCAAACUUGAGUGCAGAAGGGGAGAGUGGAAUUCCAUGUGUAGCGGUGAAAUGCGUAGAUAUAUGGAGGAACACCGGUGGCGAAAGCGGCUCUCUGGUCUGUAACUGACGCUGAGGCUCGAAAGCGUGGGGAGCGAACAGGAUUAGAUACCCUGGUAGUCCACGCCGUAAACGAUGAGUGCUAGGUGUUGGAUCCUUUCCGGGAUUCAGUGCCGCAGCUAACGCAUUAAGCACUCCGCCUGGGGAGUACGACCGCAAGGUUGAAACUCAAAGGAAUUGACGGGGGCCCGCACAAGCGGUGGAGCAUGUGGUUUAAUUCGAAGCAACGCGAAGAACCUUACCAGGUCUUGACAUCCCGAUGCUAUUUCUAGAGAUAGAAAGUUACUUCGGUACAUCGGUGACAGGUGGUGCAUGGUUGUCGUCAGCUCGUGUCGUGAGAUGUUGGGUUAAGUCCCGCAACGAGCGCAACCCCUAUUGUUAGUUGCCAUCAUUCAGUUGGGCACUCUAGCGAGACUGCCGGUAAUAAACCGGAGGAAGGUGGGGAUGACGUCAAAUCAUCAUGCCCCUUAUGACCUGGGCUACACACGUGCUACAAUGGUUGGUACAACGAGUUGCGAGUCGGUGACGGCAAGCUAAUCUCUUAAAGCCAAUCUCAGUUCGGAUUGUAGGCCGCAACUCGCCUACAUGAAGUCGGAAUCGCUAGUAAUCGCGGAUCAGCACGCCGCGGUGAAUACGUUCCCGGGCCU
Molecule: ribosomal RNA, 1369 nt
Filed under: uncultured bacterium
Lineage: Bacteria
Description: bacterial SSU rRNA
Rfam family: Bacterial small subunit ribosomal RNA
Source: RNAcentral